Molecule: ribosomal RNA, 800 nt
Filed under: uncultured bacterium
Lineage: Bacteria
Description: bacterial SSU rRNA
Rfam family: Bacterial small subunit ribosomal RNA
Source: RNAcentral
AGAGUUUGAUCAUGGCUCAGGAUGAACGCUGGCGGCGUGCUUAACACAUGCAAGUCGAACGAAGCACUUUAUUUGAUUUCUUCGGAAUGAAGAUUUAGUGACUGAGUGGCGGACGGGUGAGUAACGCGUGGGCAACCUGCCUCAUACAGGGGGAUAACAGUUGGAAACGACUGCUAAUACCGCAUAAGCGCACAGUACCGCAUGGUACAGUGUGAAAAACUCCGGUGGUAUGAGAUGGGCCCGCGUCUGAUUAGCCAGUUGGCGGGGUAACGGCCCACCAAAGCGACGAUCUGUAGCCGACCUGAGAGGGUGACCGGUCACAUUGGGACUGAGACACGGCCCAAACUCCUACGGGAGGCAGCAGUGGGGAAUAUUGCACAAUGGGGGAAACCCUGAUGCAGCGACGCCGCGUGAGCGAAGAAGUAUUUCGGUAUGUAAAGCUCUAUCAGCAGGGAAGAAGAAUGACGGUACCUGACUAAGAAGCACCGGCUAAAUACGUGCCAGCAGCCGCGGUAAUACGUAUGGUGCAAGCGUUAUCCGGAUUUACUGGGUGUAAAGGGAGCGCAGGCGGAAGGCUAAGUCUGAUGUGAAAGCCCGGGGCUCAACCCCGGUACUGCAUUGGAAACUGGUCAUCUAGAGUGUCGGAGGGGUAAGUGGAAUUCCUAGUGUAGCGGUGAAAUGCGUAGAUAUUAGGAGGAACACCAGUGGCGAAGGCGGCUUACUGGACGAUUACUGACGCUGAGGCUCGAAAGCGUGGGGAGCGAACAGGAUUAGAUACCCUGGUAGUCCACGCCGUAACG